RNAcentral lists this ribosomal RNA (434 nucleotides) under uncultured bacterium. RNAcentral's name for it is "partial 16S ribosomal RNA". It matches the Rfam family "Bacterial small subunit ribosomal RNA", at positions 32 to 507 of the family's 1533-position model. The record is from RNAcentral.
AACGAAACGCUGGCGGCAUGCCUAACACAUGCAAGUCGAACGAAGGCUUCGGCCUUAGUGGCGCACGGGUGCGUAACGCGUGGGAAUCUGCCCUUAGGUUCGGAAUAACAGUUAGAAAUGACUGCUAAUACCGGAUGAUGACGUAAGUCCAAAGAUUUAUCGCCUGAGGAUGAGCCCGCGUAGGAUUAGCUAGUUGGUGUGGUAAAGGCGCACCAAGGCGACGAUCCUUAGCUGGUCUGAGAGGAUGAUCAGCCACACUGGGACUGAGACACGGCCCAGACUCCUACGGGAGGCAGCAGUGGGGAAUAUUGGACAAUGGGCGCAAGCCUGAUCCAGCAAUGCCGCGUGAGUGAUGAAGGCCUUAGGGUUGUAAAGCUCUUUUACCCGUGAUGAUAAUGACAGUAGCGGGAGAAUAAGCCCCGGCUAACUCCGUG